UACGUAGGGUGCAAGCGUUAAUCGGAAUACUGGGCGUAAAGCGUGCGCAGGCGGUUUUGUAAGUCUGUCGUGAAAUCCCCGGGCUCAACCUGGGAAUUGCGAUGGAGACUGCAAGGCUAGAAUCUGGCAGAGGGGGGUAGAAUUCCACGUGUAGCAGUGAAAUGCGUAGAGAUGUGGAGGAACACCGAUGGCGAAGGCAGCCCCCUGGGUCAAGAUUGACGCUCAUGCACGAAAGCGUGGGGAGCAAACAGG
This 252-nucleotide ribosomal RNA is filed under the name uncultured bacterium. RNAcentral's name for it is "partial 16S ribosomal RNA". It matches the Rfam family "Bacterial small subunit ribosomal RNA", at positions 524 to 776 of the family's 1533-position model. The record is from RNAcentral.